Molecule: ribosomal RNA, 401 nt
Filed under: uncultured bacterium
Lineage: Bacteria
Description: bacterial SSU rRNA
Rfam family: Bacterial small subunit ribosomal RNA
Source: RNAcentral
GGGGAAUAUUGCACAAUGGGCGAAAGCCUGAUGCAGCAACGCCGCGUGAGUGAUGAAGGCCUUCGGGUUGUAAAGCUCUGUCUUCUGGGACGAUAAUGACGGUACCAGAGGAGGAAGCCACGGCUAACUACGUGCCAGCAGCCGCGGUAAUACGUAGGUGGCAAGCGUUGUCCGGAUUUACUGGGUGUAAAGGGCGCGCAGGCGGGAUAAAAAGUCAGUGGUGAAAUCCUACAGCUUAACUGUAGAACUGCCUUUGAUACUUUUAUUCUUGAGUUCGGGAGAGAGAGACGCAAUUCCAGGUGUAGUGGUGAAAUACGUAGAUAUCUGGAAGAACACCAGUGGCGAAGGCGGUCUCUUGGUCCGACACUGACGCUGAGGCGCGAAAGCGUGGGGAGCAAACA